RNAcentral lists this long non-coding RNA (461 nucleotides) under Mytilus galloprovincialis (Mediterranean mussel). Lineage: Eukaryota; Metazoa; Mollusca; Bivalvia; Mytilida; Mytilidae. The record is from RNAcentral.
CUAUAUACAGUGAAUUUGAAUUAAACUUUAAAAACUGGCUAAAAACAGUAGGAGCCUCCAAGGCUCUAGAGGUUUGACACUAGGGCCUUGAAGGCACCUAGUGUCUCUGCCUGUGGGAUGUCUGGUGGUAAGGCGUUCCAGUCCCUUAUAGUCUGUGGUAAGUAUGAUGUCUUGUGUGCAUCAAUACGUGAGUGCGGUACUUGGUAUGCCUUAGGGUGUAUAUUUCUCCCUUUUCUUACUGAUGGUGUGAGUCGUCCUUCUUUCUCUAUUGCUACCAUAUUAUUCUCUAUUUUAUAGAACAUCACUAGUCUGGUUUCCUUUCUUCGUUGUUGCAGUGGUUUCCAUUUUAGGUGGUCUAUCAUUUCUGUGACACUUGCAGUUGGUUUGUACUUAUUUGUCACGUAUCUUGCAGCUCUUCUUUGUAUCUGUUCUAUUUUGUAGAUCGAUUCUUUUGUUGCUGG